AUGCUCCUACUCCUCCAUGCACGCCCAUGUGGCGUCCUAUCGACAACUUGCCGUCCCUACCGCGACUCGAAUGACCGGGUCUACCUAUUCCCUCGCUUAUGUGUCUGGGGCAAACCUUGCGUCUGCAUCACCUACCGCUUAGUCUAUUGCUUAUUUUCGUUUCAUAUCAGUAGCUUGUUCUCGUCUAAGUGUACGGUGUACUUCUACCUUCUGAGUAACACCACCAUAUCUAUCUGUUCGUGGAAUGUAAGAGGACUUGGUGACUUCUCAAAAUGCGCUGAUAUACUCUCCGAACUUAUCAGCAUUAGCCCCCACUGCGCCCUUCUACAGGAAUCAAAACUAAAUGGAAUUACUGAACAAAAAUUCCGGUCCUUCUUACCUCGCUCUCUCGACCAAAAAGUGUUUCUGCCGGCCGACGGCUCGGCUGGUGGAACAGUUUCGGCUUUUAACUCAAACUACUUCACAGUACUCUCUCACACACACCAUAACUUUGCCACAUCGAUCAAACUCACAUCCCUUGCGCACCCACAACCCUUCAUCAUCACUAACGUCUAUGCUCCCGUAAGCCGCAACCUCAAACAAGCAUUUCUCGAUGAGCUCAGGCUGAUCAAACAAGAUGACCACACGCCUUGGUUAAUAGUUGGAGACUUCAACCUUCUCCGGUUUUCCCACGAAAAAAAUAACCGAAACUUCUGCCAACGAGAAGCCGAUGCUUUUAACAACAUGAUCAAUGAGCUAGCCCUACUCGAACUCCCACUGCUGGACAGACGCUUCACUUGGUCCAACAAACGAUCUGCGCCAACCUUAGUAAGACUAGACCGAGCUUUCUUUAAUCUGCCGUGGAAUAAUUGCUUCCCUAACACAACCUUAUCCUCACUGCCACGUAUCACUUCCGAUCACGUCCCCCUAAUCCUACGCAUCCAAACAUGUGUGCCAAAACCGCGCCACUUUAGCUUCGAGUCUUCAUGGACUCUCGCCACAGAAUGCCAUGACAUCGUCCGAAAAUCCUGGGCCACCAACCGUCGCUCGGCCCAAUGA
RNAcentral lists this ribosomal RNA (1038 nucleotides) under Triticum aestivum (bread wheat). RNAcentral describes it as "partial small subunit ribosomal RNA". Lineage: Eukaryota; Viridiplantae; Streptophyta; Magnoliopsida; Poales; Poaceae. The record is from RNAcentral.